Molecule: ribosomal RNA, 313 nt
Filed under: uncultured bacterium
Lineage: Bacteria
Description: bacterial SSU rRNA
Rfam family: Bacterial small subunit ribosomal RNA
Source: RNAcentral
GACGAACGCUGGCGGUAUGCUUAAGACAUGCAAGUCGAGCGGAGUUUGUUGGGAGCUUGCUUCUGACAAACUUAGCGGCGGACGGGUGAGUAACACGUGAGCAACCUGCCUCUUACAUCGGGAUACCAACUGGAAACGGUUGUUAAUACCGAAUAUGACCACAGCAUCGCAUGAUGCAGGGGUGAAAGGGUUUACUGGUAAGAGAUGGGCUCGCGCCUGAUUAGUUUGUUGGUGGGGUAACGGCCUACCAAGGCGAUGAUCAGUAGCCGACCUGAGAGGGUGAUCGGCCACAUUGGGACUGAGAACGGCCCAG